GGCCAGCGUGGCCUAGUGGUUUGAACAUUGGACUAUGACUCUGGAGACGAGGGUUCAAAUCCCAGCUUAACCA
RNAcentral lists this transfer RNA (73 nucleotides) under Phrynosoma platyrhinos (Desert horned lizard). RNAcentral describes it as "tRNA-OTHER". Lineage: Eukaryota; Metazoa; Chordata; Lepidosauria; Squamata; Phrynosomatidae. The record is from RNAcentral.